Molecule: ribosomal RNA, 119 nt
Organism: Lepisosteus oculatus (spotted gar)
Lineage: Eukaryota; Metazoa; Chordata; Actinopteri; Semionotiformes; Lepisosteidae
Source: Ensembl
GCCAGCAGCCAAAUCACCCUGCAACUCACAACUGGCAACCCACUGACGCCAAGCAGGUGUGAGCCUGGUCAGUACCUGGAUGGGAGACCUCCUGGGAAAAACUAAGGUUGCUGCUGGAA